This 286-nucleotide ribosomal RNA is filed under the name Oxyrrhis marina. RNAcentral describes it as "partial Bacterial small subunit ribosomal RNA". It matches the Rfam family "Bacterial small subunit ribosomal RNA", at positions 470 to 755 of the family's 1533-position model. The record is from RNAcentral. Lineage: Eukaryota; Dinophyceae; Oxyrrhinales; Oxyrrhinaceae.
UGACGGUACCUGCAGAAGAAGCCCCGGCUAACUCCGUGCCAGCAGCCGCGGUAAUACGGAGGGAGCUAGCGUUGUUCGGAAAUACUGGGCGUAAAGCGAACGUAGGCGGCUUAGCAAGUCAGGGGUGAAAUCCCGGAGCUCAACUCCGGAACUGCCUUUGAAACUGCUUCGCUUGAAUCCUGGAGAGGCGAGUGGAAUUCCGAGUGUAGAGGUGAAAUUCGUAGAUAUUCGGAAGAACACCAGUGGCGAAGGCGACUCGCUGGACAAGUAUUGACGCUGAGGUGCG